CUUCACUUUGUCAUAUCUACCGAGAACUCGUGAAGUCUGCACGUCUGCAGAUGUUAUAGACAUUAUUUUACGUGGACCUCAGCAUGUCAUGGACUGUGUUUACCUGUGAUUUGUCCAGUUUUAGUUUUUCAUUUGGCUUUCAUAAAAAAAAAAAAAAAAAAAAAAAAAGAAUGAUCGUGGAGAGAUCUUAAACGGGAUAUCCUUCGAAUCGGGUCGUAUACGUCUGCACAUCUGAUUGGCAUCGUGCUGUUGUGACACACCAGCAGUGCUGCUGCUGGAACCUCAAACCCUCGAGCUGCUGUCUGCAUAUUGAGAUGCACUUCGAUGAAGGCUGGUGGAAGGCUGCCAUUCGGUCUAGUCUAAGCAGCUCCUUUUAUCAUGAUCAAACCAAUGCUUGCACUAAAAACUGGGAAAUGUGUGAGAGAGAUGCAAGGGAUGAACUGGUAAGACAAAAUGUGAGUUGAAAAAUGAAAUGUGGAAUAUUUAGUAUUUUCUUAUAAGUUAUUGUUUUCUGAGCUGAAUGGUCUAUUUUAUGGAAUCAUAGAAGGUUUGAGGAUUUCUAUCGAAGUAAAUGUCUCUGUAGAAACAAAAAGGCAUAAGAUGACUGAGUGGUUUCAAACACAUUCACACUCACUCGUUCUACAGUCUAGACCACAAGUAUUCACUCUCCUCAAACCUGACCCUGACAUGUAAGCCUGAAAUAGACGCCUACUUAGACAUGACAUCAGCCAGUGUUUUAGCCAAACACACACACAGUUCACGUCUGCAGAGCCAAAUGACCUGCACUUAUAAGUCUAGUGGGGAAGUCUCUGGCAGCUGUGCGAAGGCAGUGAGAACACCAGAUGUAAGAACGUAAUGCGUUAAAAGCCUGCUUCUGGAAGUAUCGGAGUAGCAUUUCCUUUCUAAAGAGGUAAAUGAGUGUAAACUCAAUCUUUAGGAUAGAAAACCUGCUUUUUUAAGGUUUUAGAUUUAGAAAAAUGUGUUUAUAUGGUUGAGAACGAAAAAACAACUGGCACUUUUUUUCAUUUUGGCUGCAAAUGAUUCACAUUUUGUGGAACCAUGCCAUUUUUAAUAUCUAUCUAAUGUUUUGGAGUGUAACUUCCUAAACCAUGUAAUAAUGCUGCUUUUAUGUAGCCACAUGAAAUCAAUUAAUUUUAUUUGUACUAAUAAAUAGUCUAGAAAGUGGUCUUGGAAAAUGAAUAGUGCUCCAAUUCUUACAUUUAUCAUGUAUCAAAGUUGAGUGUGUCAUGAACUGAAUUAAUAAGUGGAGCAUCAGAUGUUCCAGUUAACAAAUAAUACUGAAGGACAGGCAUUAGCAAUACCGGUUUACAUUUUUCUAGCUACAGCUAGCUUGUUUAGUCUGUCACAAUGAAUUAUGGGAUUUUGAAAAACAAACAAAACAAUAAGAGGUGUAACUCACAAAAUAAAAGUUAAGUUUAUUGUUGAACAACAAACUCCACACAUACAACAAACAGGCCAAGGUAAAACAAAUAAUGUAGACAAAACAAAGUCAAAAGAAACCAAAACUCCUUUUCUUUGGCCUUGCCCUCUCAUACAAAAACUAGUUUAUGGUACAACUAAAGUUCAUACAUAAAAUUUACUGGAAUGCUCUUGAGUUCAAUGGCUGUUGAUUUUAUACAUGUUGUAUUUACGUUGAAAUAUUGAGACAUGGUCAAACCAAACAAGUAAAAUUUCCAUAAAGAAGCACCGUUUUGGUCACAGGAGAUCAUGAUAAAGUGGCUGACCUCUUCACAAUAUAUGUACAAAAAUAUAAAAUGUAAAUAAAAAUACAAACAAAUCCUUGUCUUGCGUAUUUUCAUUGUGAAUGCUGAAAAUCUGAGAUGUGGUCGGUCCUCUAGAAAAUUUUUAAUUGGGGUCAAGUUGGUUAACAUGGGU
This is a long non-coding RNA of Carassius gibelio (silver crucian carp), 1896 nucleotides long. RefSeq lists it as uncharacterized. Lineage: Eukaryota; Metazoa; Chordata; Actinopteri; Cypriniformes; Cyprinidae. The record is from RefSeq and is a predicted model, not a curated record. The transcript is spliced from 2 exons.